Long non-coding RNA from Corvus hawaiiensis (hawaiian crow), 537 nucleotides. RefSeq lists it as uncharacterized. The record is from RefSeq and is a predicted model, not a curated record. The transcript has 2 exons. Lineage: Eukaryota; Metazoa; Chordata; Aves; Passeriformes; Corvidae.
UCCAUCGAGUCUGGGCGGAGCAGAGGAGACCGCAAAGAUAUUUAAACAGAGCACAAAGGAAGAUACAAUGAACUCGGGAAGAACCAAGGACACGACCACAGCCUCUCUCAGAGGCAACACAAAACAAAGCAGAGGAAGGAAUACAACAACACCAGGGACCGUCUUGGAGGUGCAAACCAAACAAAGAGCGAGUACCGCUGAACCUCAAAAGCAGUUGUUGCUGAGUAAGAACUGGAUGCAUCUCCUGCUCCUGCAUAAGGACUGCUGACAUGAACAAGUGGGAGGAAGAUCAAGCUCCGGCAAGGACGGACUUCAGGAGCUGGUUCCUUCUUCUUUCACACGGAUGGGAGUGUCACAGCGCGCUUUCCUGUCUAAUCAGUCUCAACACAGCCUUGCACAACUCACCCUGCUUUAAGCUUUUAACCAGGGUGUAGGAGUUCAGAAUAAAAAACCACCUCCCUUCCCCCAAGAAAAAUGUAAUUGCCAAGAUUUGUUUUGAUGUAGCACAUACAGUAAACUUGAAUCACUGAAAGGGAA